RNAcentral lists this ribosomal RNA (1361 nucleotides) under Paraiberobathynella cf. fagei ABI-2012. RNAcentral's name for it is "SSU rRNA". It matches the Rfam family "Eukaryotic small subunit ribosomal RNA", at positions 1 to 1345 of the family's 1831-position model. The record is from RNAcentral. Lineage: Eukaryota; Metazoa; Arthropoda; Malacostraca; Bathynellacea; Parabathynellidae.
UUACCUGGUUUGAUCCUGCCAGUAGUCAUAUGCUUGUCUCAAAGAUUAAGCCAUGCAUGUCUAAGUACAGGCCGAAACAAGGCGAAACCGCGAAUGGCUCAUUAAAUCAGUUAUGGUUCAUUGGAUCUUACCUUGUUUUACUUGGAUAACUGUGGUAAUUCUAGAGCUAAUACGUGAUACCCCAGCUCCGACCGCAAGGAAAGAGCGCUUUUAUUAGAUCAAAACCAAUCGGGCUUCGGUCCGUUCUCACUGUGGUGACUCUGAAUAACUUUGAGCUGAGCGCAUGGUCUUCGAACCGGCGCCAUAUCCUUCAAGUGUCUGCCUUAUCAGCUUUCGAUUGUAGGUUAUGCGCCUACAAUGGCUAUAACGGGUAACGGGGAAUCAGGGUUCGAUUCCGGAGAGGGAGCCUGAGAAACGGCUACCACAUCUAAGGAAGGCAGCAGGCACGCAAAUUACCCACUCCCGGCCCGGGGAGGUAGUGACGAAAAAUAACGAUGCGGGACUCUUCCGAGGCCUCGCAAUCGGAAUGAGCACACUUUAAAUCCUUUAACGAGGAUCUAUUGGAGGGCAAGUCUGGUGCCAGCAGCCGCGGUAAUUCCAGCUCCAAUAGCGUAUAUUAAAGUUGCUGCGGUUAAAAAGCUCGUAGUUGGAUCUCAGUUCCGGACCGACGGUUCACCGCCCGGUGCUUACUGUCGGCUUCCGAACAGCCGCACGCCGGCUCGGCCAGGGUGCUCUUCAUCGAGUGUCCUGGUUUCGGCCGGCACGUUUACUUUGAAAAAAUUAGAGUGCUCAGCGCAGGCUGCAACGCCUGAAUAAUCUGUGCAUGGAAUAAUGGAAUAGGACCUCGGUUCUAUUUUGUUGGUUUUCGGAACCCGAGGUAAUGAUUAAUAGGAACUGUCGGGGGCAUUCGUAUUGCGACGUUAGAGGUGAAAUUCUUGGAUCGUCGCAAGACGGACUACUGCGAAAGCAUUUGCCAAGAAUGUUUUCAUUAAUCAAGAACGAAAGUUAGAGGUUCGAAGGCGAUCAGAUACCGCCCUAGUUCUAACCAUAAACGAUGCCAACCAGCGAUCCGCCGGCGUUAUUCCCAUGACUCGGCGGGCAGCUUCCGGGAAACCAAAGUCUCUGGGUUCCGGGGGAAGUAUGGUUGCAAAGCUGAAACUUAAAGGAAUUGACGGAAGGGCACCACCAGGAGUGGAGCCUGCGGCUUAAUUUGACUCAACACGGGGAACCUCACCAGGCCCGGACACCGGAAGGAUUGACAGAUUGAGAGCUCUUUCUCGAUUCGGUGGGUGGUGGUGCAUGGCCGUUCUUAGUUGGUGGAGCGAUUUGUCUGGUUAAUUCCGAUAACGAACGAGACUCAA